Non-coding RNA from Pseudomonas syringae pv. syringae B728a, 74 nucleotides. The record is from Rfam. NCBI's taxonomy places the organism in Bacteria, Pseudomonadati, Pseudomonadota, Gammaproteobacteria, Pseudomonadales, Pseudomonadaceae.
AUUAUUAUUACCGUCAUUCCAGUCAUGGCGGGUUAGCCGACGUUUGCCAAAAACCCGCCCUGGAGGCGGGUUUC